GCUGACUAUGCUCCAGGGGCGGGAGCUUUGUUUGUGUGUUUGAUUUAGCUCUAGAAAUGGAAUGCAACUAGCAGAAACUUGCCACGUUUGUGUUAUUCGGGUAAAAGAAAACUUCUGAAGCAAGCCCCAGUAACAGGCUUUUGUCUUUACCCUGGAGCCUCCUAUGAUCUCUCUCUAGACUCCUCCCUGGCCUUGCAUGCUGCCUUUCUGCCAACAAAGAAUUGGAAAACCUCUUAUUCAAACACCACACUGUAAAUUCCAGCUGCCUAAAAUGGUGUCAUUCUUAUUCAGGAAGAUGAGGAAGUUCUGGUGGACUAGACAUAUAGUGCCAACCGAUAGGCGCAAAUGGAACACCGGUCUCCAAUAGGACCAUCUGAGCUUGGACUUCUGCAUCCUCGCUAUCAGCACCAGGACUGUUACUCUGGAUGUAAACUGGAGGGCAUCUACUAGAGGGAGAGAUUACAGUGGACAACUGACUGACUUUUCAACUG
Mauremys reevesii (Reeves's turtle) is the source of this 491-nucleotide long non-coding RNA. RefSeq lists it as uncharacterized. The record is from RefSeq and is a predicted model, not a curated record. The transcript is spliced from 3 exons. Lineage: Eukaryota; Metazoa; Chordata; Testudines; Geoemydidae.